GACUUCGCUGAACACAAAUAUUAGUGAUUGAAAACAGUAAAACAUAUCACAGCGAUGAUAUUGUCAGUGAAAGUGACUUUUUUUGCAUUUUUCACACACAAACAGCACUUUUACUGAUGAUAUAAUUGUUGUGAUACGUUUUCCAGUUUUUUAAACACUAAUAUUUGUGUUCAGCGAUGUC
RNAcentral lists this microRNA precursor (181 nucleotides) under Pelobates cultripes (western spadefoot toad). The record is from RNAcentral. Lineage: Eukaryota; Metazoa; Chordata; Amphibia; Anura; Pelobatidae.